GGACUGUGGCUCAGUAGUAGAGCGCUCGCCUAGCAUGUGCGUGGCCCUGGGUUCAAUCCUCAGCACCA
RNAcentral lists this transfer RNA (68 nucleotides) under Marmota monax (woodchuck). Its description in RNAcentral is "tRNA.Ala". The stretch from base 5 to 65 matches the Rfam family "tRNA", at positions 6 to 65 of the family's 71-position model. From Rfam's summary of the family: Transfer RNA (tRNA) molecules are approximately 80 nucleotides in length. Their secondary structure includes four short double-helical elements and three loops (D, anti-codon, and T loops). The record is from RNAcentral. Lineage: Eukaryota; Metazoa; Chordata; Mammalia; Rodentia; Sciuridae.